Molecule: ribosomal RNA, 301 nt
Filed under: uncultured bacterium
Lineage: Bacteria
Description: partial 16S ribosomal RNA
Rfam family: Bacterial small subunit ribosomal RNA
Source: RNAcentral
CAGUCGCCACGGUAAAACGGAGGGUGCAAGCGUUAUCCGGAUUUACUGGGUUUAAAGGGUGCGUAGGUGGGUCUGUAAGUCAGUGGUGAAAUCUCCGAGCUUAACUCGGAAACUGCCAUUGAUACUAUAGGUCUUGAAUCAUCUGGAGGUGAGCGGAAUAUGUCAUGUAGCGGUGAAAUGCUUAGAUAUGACAUAGAACACCAAUUGCGAAGGCAGCUCACUACGGAUGUAUUGACACUGAGGCACGAAAGCGUGGGGAUCAAACAGGAUUAGAUACCCCAGUAGUCCCUGUCUCUUAUAC